GGGUGAGUAACACGUGGGCAAUCUGCCCUGCACUCUGGGACAAGCCCUGGAAACGGGGUCUAAUACCGGAUACUGACCCUCACGGGCAUCUGUGAGGUUCGAAAGCUCCGGCGGUGCAGGAUGAGCCCGCGGCCUAUCAGCUUGUUGGUGAGGUAAUGGCUCACCAAGGCGACGACGGGUAGCCGGCCUGAGAGGGCGACCGGCCACACUGGGACUGAGACACGGCCCAGACUCCUACGGGAGGCAGCAGUGGGGAAUAUUGCACAAUGGGCGAAAGCCUGAUGCAGCGACGCCGCGUGAGGGAUGACGGCCUUCGGGUUGUAAACCUCUUUCAGCAGGGAAGAAGCGAAAGUGACGGUACCUGCAGAAGAAGCGCCGGCUAACUACGUGCCAGCAGCCGCGGUAAUACGUAGGGCGCGAGCGUUGUCCGGAAUUAUUGGGCGUAAAGAGCUCGUAGGCGGCUUGUCACGUCGGUUGUGAAAGCCCGGGGCUUAACCCCGGGUCUGCAGUCGAUACGGGCAGGCUAGAGUUCGGUAGGGGAGAUCGGAAUUCCUGGUGUAGCGGUGAAAUGCGCA
Molecule: ribosomal RNA, 575 nt
Filed under: Streptomyces marokkonensis
Lineage: Bacteria; Bacillati; Actinomycetota; Actinomycetes; Kitasatosporales; Streptomycetaceae
Description: bacterial SSU rRNA
Rfam family: Bacterial small subunit ribosomal RNA
Source: RNAcentral